This 482-nucleotide ribosomal RNA is filed under the name uncultured bacterium. RNAcentral's name for it is "partial 16S ribosomal RNA". It matches the Rfam family "Bacterial small subunit ribosomal RNA", at positions 30 to 507 of the family's 1533-position model. The record is from RNAcentral.
AUUGAACGCUGGCGGCAUGCCUUACACAUGCAAGUCGAACGGUAACGGGCCUUCGGGUGCCGACGAGUGGCGGACGGGUGAGUAAUACAUCGGAACGUGCCCGUCCGCGGGGGAUAACGAGGCGAAAGCUUUGCUAAUACCGCAUUCGAUCUACGGAUGAAAGCAUGGGACCGCAGGGCCUUGCGCGGACGGAGCGGCCGAUGGCCGAUUAGGUAGUUGGUGGGAUAAAAGCUUACCAAGCCGACGAUCUGUAGCUGGUCUGAGAGGAUGAUCAGCCACACUGGGACUGAGACACGGCCCAGACUCCUACGGGAGGCAGCAGUGGGGAAUUUUGGACAAUGGGCGCAAGCCUGAUCCAGCCAUGCCGCGUGCAGGAUGAAGGCCUUCGGGUUGUAAACUGCUUUUGUACGGAACGAAAAGCCUUCUUUUAAUACAGGAGGGUCAUGACGGUACCGUAAGAAUAAGCACCGGCUAACUACGUG